AGUGAACGCUGGCGGUAGGCCUAACACAUGCAAGUCGAACGGCAGCACAGUAAGAGCUUGCUCUUACGGGUGGCGAGUGGCGGACGGGUGAGGAAUACAUCGGAAUCUACUUUUUCGUGGGGGAUAACGUAGGGAAACUUACGCUAAUACCGCAUACGACCUACGGGUGAAAGCAGGGGAUCUUCGGACCUUGCGCGAUUGAAUGAGCCGAUGUCGGAUUAGCUAGUUGGCGGGGUAAAGGCCCACCAAGGCGACGAUCCGUAGCUGGUCUGAGAGGAUGAUCAGCCACACUGGAACUGAGACACGGUCCAGACUCCUACGGGAGGCAGCAGUGGGGAAUAUUGGACAAUGGGCGCAAGCCUGAUCCAGCCAUACCGCGUGGGUGAAGAAGGCCUUCGGGUUGUAGAGCCCUUCUGUUGGGAAAGAAAAGCAGCAGGUUAAUACCCCGCUGUUCUGACGGUACCCAAAGAAUAAGCACCGGCUAACUUCGUG
Molecule: ribosomal RNA, 492 nt
Filed under: uncultured bacterium
Lineage: Bacteria
Description: partial 16S ribosomal RNA
Rfam family: Bacterial small subunit ribosomal RNA
Source: RNAcentral